RNAcentral lists this ribosomal RNA (252 nucleotides) under uncultured bacterium. Its description in RNAcentral is "partial 16S ribosomal RNA". It matches the Rfam family "Bacterial small subunit ribosomal RNA", at positions 524 to 776 of the family's 1533-position model. The record is from RNAcentral.
UACGUAGGGGGCAAGCGUUGUCCGGAAUCAUUGGGCGUAAAGCGCGUGUAGGCGGCUCGAUAAGUCUGCUGUGAAAGUCCAGGGCUCAACCCUGGGAUGCCGGUGGAUACUGUCGAGCUCGAGUCCGGAAGAGGCGAGUGGAAUUCCUGGUGUAGCGGUGAAAUGCGCAGAUAUCAGGAGGAACACCAAUGGCGAAGGCAGCUCGCUGGGACGUGACUGACGCUGAGACGCGAAGCGUGGGGAGCAAACAGG